GGCAGAUAUCAUGGAGGGUCACGGACUGACGUCCUACCCAAGUAACGGGUGAUACAGUUCAUGUGAACUUCUGAACGUCUUAACCCUCUUUGAACUUGAACUUGAACUUGAGCCUGGCGCAGGCAGUAUCUAGGAGGAAAAAAAAAAAAAAAAGAAGAUUACUACUACUACUACUCCUUGGGUCUCGGACGUGGGCGGCUGCCGGUGAUUUAACGGCGAAUACAGAAAAUUCGAGAGGUGCGUAGGUAUCGUUCAUAUCUUCACACCGAAAAAUGGAGUAAUCAUUUUCGAGUGGACGGAAAAUAGUCGGAGUGUCUAGAUACUCAGAGUCUUUGCUUUUCUGAUUCACAUAACCAAGCCACAAUGUACUUAUCAGGAAGGUGCUGUGUGGGUGAACUCCUUAACUAUUGAAAUACUUACUAUAUUUGCCCUCGCUUACUCUAACUGAAGAGACGCAUUACUUCUCGUCAGGCAGCAUGUUCUGUUUUCAAGUCCUUCUGUGGUUCUUCCAAGGGGGAAGAUCAUUGAGCAUCAUGCAGAACCUGAGGUGGUUGAACGCCGUUCCACCGCUUUUAUCUAAGCCUCUAGUAUUCUUCAGGAGGGCCAGAUACAUCAGUUCCAUUCUGCAUGGAAACGUAUCGUUUGUCCUCUGGGAACAUUUUUGGAGCAGUGUACUGCAUCACAUGAGAAUGUUCUUCCCUGCCUCACAUUGGGGAAGGAGGCUGGGAGCUGGUUUGAAAGCUGUUCCACCUCAGAUUACGAGAGCUUGGGUGAAUAGUUGUGGUUACCGUUAUGGAAGUUAUGGAGAAGUUCUGCACAUGUUUGCUAUCAACGGAAAAGUGCAUAAGAAGGAUAGGGUGUAGGAUGUACUAUAAGUUAUGUUAGUUACAUCAUGUAAAUGUCACCUUUGUCUUAACAGUUGUAAUAUAUCUUAAUUAUUGUAACUAUGGAGGAGUUUGUUAGAAGAAUUUGGUGUAGGAUGUAUUUUAAGUUUUGUCUUGUUAAUUUGUUUGCAGGUUGUCUGUUUGGAUUAUUUUGUGAAAAUGCCAUAGGUGAGCUAAGCUUUUAUAUUAUUGUUCCUUGGUAAUGCAAUUUUGUAGCAUCUUCUACACUAUUUUGAAGUGAUUUGCGCAGCCGUGGUUACUUGUAUUUAUGGCUGCUCUGCCUGAUGUGGCUGUGAUGCUUUUAAAUUUGAUUUAAUCCCUAGCAAAGGGUGUGUUAAUGUUCUAAACAGUACAAUACUUUUAGCCCUUUUCCUUUUGUAUAAUAUUUGUAUCUCUUGAUCUUCUGUCUCUUUUGUAAAAUUACUUUGCUUCUAUCUAAAUUUAUUUAAAUCUAGUCUUUGUUAUUGACUGUGAUUUGAAGUUGAAGUUCUAUGGUAGAAACUGUGUAAACUAGUUUAUUGGCCAAGGACUGAGCUGUUGAAGUAAUUACCUAUGUAAGUUAUCCUGUUUCUGUAUAAUACUUCCCCCCCUUUUCUUUUUGUACAAACAGUACAAUACUUCUAGCCCUUUUCCUUUUGUAAAAUAUUUGUAUCUCUUGAUCUCCUUUCUCUUUUGUAAAAUUACUUAAAUCUGUAUCUUAAUUUAUCUAAAUCUAGUAUUAGUCAUUGAUGACUGUGAUUUAAAAUUCAUAUCUUAAGGUAGAAACUUUGAACUAGUCAUGAAUGAAAAUGGAAACAGUAGCCAUUCAGAAAAUCCCACUUUUAAGUGCAAAUUCUGUGGGAAGAGUUUUUCUGAAAGGAAUGUCUUUAAAUGCCAUGAAAAGACCUGUGAUAACUUCAUGGUCAUUCCUCGUAGUUCCACUUCUGCUGCAUCUGCAACAUCCACUGCAACAUCUGCUGCAACAUCUGCUGCUGUCUCGGUUCAGUCCUCAGGUGACUGCAACCAGAUCAAGUGUCGAUAUUGUUCCAGCUCAUUCACACUUCAAAAAAAUUGCUCGAGGCAUGAAAAAGGUUGCCAGAAAAACCCUUUAUCUUCUUCAAACUUUGUUUGUGAGUUUAGUUUAGUUUAGUUUAGUUUAGUUUAUUGUUCACAGCCAGACAUUACAAGAAAUUGCAAGCCAACACAUAGUCAAAAACACACUUUAUACAACUGAAAGAAAUUCAUCAAUGUUAUAAAAUGCACGGUCAAUUAAAAAUUUCUUAACUUUUAAUUUAAACAAUUUCAUGCUUUCAAUUAUUCUGAGAUCCUCUGGUAGUUUAUUGAAGAGCAUAGAGGAUCUAUAUAGCACAGAGUUCAUUUCAAGGACACUUAUAUUGAUUUUUGAGAUUUUAGAUCUUGUGUUAUAAGAAGAACACGUAAAACUAUUGUUCUUUUUCGCAUGGAUUACU
This is a long non-coding RNA of Frankliniella occidentalis (western flower thrips), 2332 nucleotides long. RefSeq lists it as uncharacterized. The record is from RefSeq and is a predicted model, not a curated record. Lineage: Eukaryota; Metazoa; Arthropoda; Insecta; Thysanoptera; Thripidae. The transcript has 7 exons.